RNAcentral lists this ribosomal RNA (1381 nucleotides) under uncultured bacterium. RNAcentral describes it as "bacterial SSU rRNA". It matches the Rfam family "Bacterial small subunit ribosomal RNA", at positions 18 to 1394 of the family's 1533-position model. The record is from RNAcentral.
CCUGGCUCAGGAUGAACGCUAGCUACAGGCUUAACACAUGCAAGUCGAGGGGCAGCAUGGUCUUAGCUUGCUAAGGCCGAUGGCGACCGGCGCACGGGUGAGUAACACGUAUCCAACCUGCCGUCUACUCUUGGACAGCCUUCUGAAAGGAAGAUUAAUACAAGAUGGCAUCAUGAGUCCGCAUGUUCACAUGAUUAAAGGUAUUCCGGUAGACGAUGGGGAUGCGUUCCAUUAGAUAGUAGGCGGGGUAACGGCCCACCUAGUCUUCGAUGGAUAGGGGUUCUGAGAGGACGGUCCCCCACAUUGGAACUGAGACACGGUCCAAACUCCUACGGGAGGCAGCAGUGAGGAAUAUUGGUCAAUGGGCGAGAGCCUGAACCAGCCAAGUAGCGUGAAGGAUGACUGCCCUAUGGGUUGUAAACUUCUUUUAUAAAGGAAUAAAGUCGGGUAUGGAUACCCGUUUGCAUGUACUUUAUGAAUAAGGAUCGGCUAACUCCGUGCCAGCAGCCGCGGUAAUACGGAGGAUCCGAGCGUUAUCCGGAUUUAUUGGGUUUAAAGGGAGCGUAGAUGGAUGUUUAAGUCAGUUGUGAAAGUUUGCGGCUCAACCGUAAAAUUGCAGUUGAUACUGGAUAUCUUGAGUGCAGUUGAGGCAGGCGGAAUUCGUGGUGUAGCGGUGAAAUGCUUAGAUAUCACGAAGAACUCCGAUUGCGAAGGCAGCCUGCUAAGCUGCAACUGACAUUGAGGCUCGAAAGUGUGGGUAUCAAACAGGAUUAGAUACCCUGGUAGUCCACACGGUAAACGAUGAAUACUCGCUGUUUGCGAUAUACUGCAAGCGGCCAAGCGAAAGCGUUAAGUAUUCCACCUGGGGAGUACGCCGGCAACGGUGAAACUCAAAGGAAUUGACGGGGGCCCGCACAAGCGGAGGAACAUGUGGUUUAAUUCGAUGAUACGCGAGGAACCUUACCCGGGCUUAAAUUGCAGAUGAAUUACGGUGAAAGCCGUAAGCCGCAAGGCAUCUGUGAAGGUGCUGCAUGGUUGUCGUCAGCUCGUGCCGUGAGGUGUCGGCUUAAGUGCCAUAACGAGCGCAACCCUUGUUGUCAGUUACUAACAGGUUCCGCUGAGGACUCUGACAAGACUGCCAUCGUAAGAUGUGAGGAAGGUGGGGAUGACGUCAAAUCAGCACGGCCCUUACGUCCGGGGCUACACACGUGUUACAAUGGGGGGUACAGAGGGCCGCUACCACGCGAGUGGAUGCCAAUCCCCAAAACCUCUCUCAGUUCGGACUGGAGUCUGCAACCCGACUCCACGAAGCUGGAUUCGCUAGUAAUCGCGCAUCAGCCACGGCGCGGUGAAUACGUUCCCGGGCCUAGUACACACCGCC